GACGAACGCUGGCGGCGUGGAUUAGGCAUGCAAGUCGAACGGUAUCAUCCUUUCGGGGGUGAGAGAGUGGCGAACUGGUGAGUAACACGUAGGAAUCUACCCUUAAGACGGGGACAACCCAGGGAAACUUGGGCUAAUACCGGAUGAGAGUGCGAGAGGUUGCAUUUAAAAGGAUGGCGAAAGUUGUCGCUUAGGGAUGAGCCUGCGGUCUAUUAGUUAGUUGGUGAGGUAAGAGCUCACCAAGGCGAUGAUAGAUAGGCGGCCUUAACGGGUGGUCGCCCACACUGGGAUUGAGAUACGGCCCAGACUCCUACGGGAGGCAGCAGUCGAGAAUAGUCUACAAUGGUCGGAAGACUGAUAGUGCGACGCCGCGUGAACGAUGAAUCCCUUCGGGUGUAAAGUUCUUUUAUAUGUGAGCAGUGCUUCUUAUAUUAACAGUAUGGGGAGAGAGAUAUUAGCAUAUGAAUAAGCAACGGCUAACUCCGUGCCAGCAGCCGAC
Molecule: ribosomal RNA, 499 nt
Filed under: uncultured bacterium
Lineage: Bacteria
Description: bacterial SSU rRNA
Rfam family: Bacterial small subunit ribosomal RNA
Source: RNAcentral